RNAcentral lists this ribosomal RNA (774 nucleotides) under Lacticaseibacillus rhamnosus. Its description in RNAcentral is "bacterial SSU rRNA". It matches the Rfam family "Bacterial small subunit ribosomal RNA", at positions 638 to 1412 of the family's 1533-position model. The record is from RNAcentral. Lineage: Bacteria; Bacillati; Bacillota; Bacilli; Lactobacillales; Lactobacillaceae.
AAACUUGAGUGCAGAAGAGGACAGUGGAACUCCAUGUGUAGCGGUGAAAUGCGUAGAUAUAUGGAAGAACACCAGUGGCGAAGGCGGCUGUCUGGUCUGUAACUGACGCUGAGGCUCGAAAGCAUGGGUAGCGAACAGGAUUAGAUACCCUGGUAGUCCAUGCCGUAAACGAUGAAUGCUAGGUGUUGGAGGGUUUCCGCCCUUCAGUGCCGCAGCUAACGCAUUAAGCAUUCCGCCUGGGGAGUACGACCGCAAGGUUGAAACUCAAAGGAAUUGACGGGGGCCCGCACAAGCGGUGGAGCAUGUGGUUUAAUUCGAAGCAACGCGAAGAACCUUACCAGGUCUUGACAUCUUUUGAUCACCUGAGAGAUCAGGUUUCCCCUUCGGGGGCAAAAUGACAGGUGGUGCAUGGUUGUCGUCAGCUCGUGUCGUGAGAUGUUGGGUUAAGUCCCGCAACGAGCGCAACCCUUAUGACUAGUUGCCAGCAUUUAGUUGGGCACUCUAGUAAGACUGCCGGUGACAAACCGGAGGAAGGUGGGGAUGACGUCAAAUCAUCAUGCCCCUUAUGACCUGGGCUACACACGUGCUACAAUGGAUGGUACAACGAGUUGCGAGACCGCGAGGUCAAGCUAAUCUCUUAAAGCCAUUCUCAGUUCGGACUGUAGGCUGCAACUCGCCUACACGAAGUCGGAAUCGCUAGUAAUCGCGGAUCAGCACGCCGCGGUGAAUACGUUCCCGGGCCUUGUACACACCGCCCGUCACACCAUGAGAGUU